UUUACGGAGAGUUUGAUCCUGGCUCAGGACGAACGCUGGCGGCGUGCUUAACACAUGCAAGUCGAACGAUGAACACCGGAGCUUGCUCUGGUGGGAUUAGUGGCGAACGGGUGAGUAACA
RNAcentral lists this ribosomal RNA (120 nucleotides) under Pontimonas sp. RNAcentral describes it as "partial 16S ribosomal RNA". It matches the Rfam family "Bacterial small subunit ribosomal RNA", at positions 1 to 115 of the family's 1533-position model. Lineage: Bacteria; Bacillati; Actinomycetota; Actinomycetes; Micrococcales; Microbacteriaceae. The record is from RNAcentral.